UACAGAGGUCUCAAGCGUUGUUCGGAUUCAUUGGGCGUAAAGGGGGCGUAGGCGGCGCGGUAAGUCGGGUGUGAAAUCUCGGAGCUUAACUCCGAAACUGCAUUCGAUACUGCCGUGCUUGAGGACUGGAGAGGAGACUGGAAUUUACGGUGUAGCGGUGAAAUGCGUAGAUAUCGUAAGGAAGACCAGUGGCGAAGGCAGCUCGCUGGGACGUGACUGACGCUGAGACGCGAAAGCGUGGGGAGCAAACAGG
This 253-nucleotide ribosomal RNA is filed under the name uncultured bacterium. Its description in RNAcentral is "partial 16S ribosomal RNA". It matches the Rfam family "Bacterial small subunit ribosomal RNA", at positions 524 to 776 of the family's 1533-position model. The record is from RNAcentral.